AUGGAACCACUCCCCCCUGAGCUAUAUCCCCAUUGGGUUGAGUAUUUGAUUGAGCAUUUCUUUCUAGAUCUUACCUAGAUAGAUUUAUCUUGGUCCCCUGAGAGUCAUUUACCCAGUAACUGGUAAUAUUCUUCUCAAUUUGCGAGUAUAUCUUUUGCCUAAUACUCGGUAAAAGUAAUCUAUUAUCCCUACCGGUUUCGUUCCCACGUUUCCCCAGGAAGUUUAUCCUUGAUAUGUUCAUCCUAACCGAUG
RNAcentral lists this long non-coding RNA (252 nucleotides) under Lathyrus oleraceus (garden pea). RNAcentral describes it as "Pisum sativum (pea) long non-coding RNA (PSAT_LNC000207)". The record is from RNAcentral. Lineage: Eukaryota; Viridiplantae; Streptophyta; Magnoliopsida; Fabales; Fabaceae.